Molecule: ribosomal RNA, 1323 nt
Filed under: metagenome
Description: bacterial LSU rRNA
Rfam family: Bacterial large subunit ribosomal RNA
Source: RNAcentral
CACCAGGACUGCAGUUGACCGUACCGUAAUCCGACACAGGUAGGCGAGGCGAGCAGCCUAAGGUGCUCGAGUCAUUUACGGAAAAGGAACUCGGCAAAAUGACCCCGUAACUUCGGGAUAAGGGGUGCCGGUGGUAGCUGACCUAAUCAAGGGAAGGCGAAGCCGGCCGCAGAGAAUCGUCCCAAGCGACUGUUUAGCAAAAACACAGGAGCGUGCAAAGGCAUUGUCCAAGCCGACGUAUACGCUCUGACUCCUGCCCGGUGCCGGAAGGUUAAGGCGAGUUGUCAGCCGCAAGGCGAAGCAAUGAACCGAAGCCCCGGUAAACGGCGGCCGUAACGAUAACGGUCCUAAGGUAGCGAAAUUCCUUGUCGGGUAAGUUCCGACCUGCACGAAUGGAGUAACGACUUGGGAGCUGUCUCUUCCGUAAGCUCGGCGAAAUAGAAGCAUCGGUGAGGAUUCCGAUUACCCGCGACAGGACAAAAAGACCCCAUGCACCUUUACUACAACCUGUCAUUGAUUGUCGGUAUGCGUUGCGUAGCAUAGGUGGGAGCCAGUGAAACCGCGGUUUUGGCCGUGGUGGAGGCACCAGUGAAAUGCCACCCUUCGUUUACUAACAAUCUCACUCAGCCGGCAACACCGGCGAGGACCGUGGCAGGCGGGUAGUUUGACUGGGGCGGUCGCCUCCUAAAAAGUACCGGAGGCGCACAAUGGUUGGCUCAGUGCGGUCGGUAAUCGCACGAGGAGUGUAUACGCAGAAGCCAGCCUGACUGCAAGCGCGACGGCGCGAGCAGGGACGAAAGUCGGUGUAAGUGAUCCGGUGGGACCGUGUGGACGGCCCAUCGCUCAUCGGAUAAAAGGUACGCUGGGGAUAACAGGCUUAUCGCGCCCGAGAGUUCACAUCGACGGCGCGGUUUGGCUCCUCGAUGUCGGCUUAUCACAUCCUGGGGCUGGAGAAGGUCCCAAGGGUCCGGCUGUUCGCCGGUUAAAGUGGUACAUGAGCUGGGUUCAGAACGUCGUGAGACAGUUCGGUCUGUAUCCGUCGUGGGCGUGGGAGUGUUGGGGGACGUCGUCCUUAGUACGAGAGGACCGGGACGAAGCGACCGCUCGUGCACGGGCUAUCCUGCCAAGGGUAUCGCCCGGUAGCGAUGUCGCGCGAAGAUAACCGCUGAAAGCAUCUAAGUGGGAAACUUUUCCCAAGAUGAACACUCCUAGAUCUUAAGAUCUCUAAAGGGCCCAGGGAGACUACCUGGUUGAUAGGCUGCAGAUGCAAGGCGUGCAAGCGCUUCAGUCGAGCGGUACUAAUCGCCCGUGAAGUUUGAUCUC